This is a non-coding RNA of Vicugna pacos (alpaca), 134 nucleotides long. The record is from RefSeq and is a predicted model, not a curated record. Lineage: Eukaryota; Metazoa; Chordata; Mammalia; Artiodactyla; Camelidae.
CCUGUUUGUCCUUCACAAUCCUUUGCUGGUCUCCCCUUGUGAUCUGUAUCCCUAAGUGUCAGUGUCCCUGAGCCUCCAUCCCCGGCAUCUCUGCAUUUCUUACUUCUUGCCCUUUAGAUGAUAGAUCUGAAGAG